GGCGCACGGGUGCGUAACGCGUGAGCAACCUACCCAUAUCAGGGGGAUAGCCUCUCGAAAGAGAGAUUAACACCGCAUAACAUCAUUUACCGGCAUCGGUUUUUGAUCAAAUAUUUAUAGGAUAUGGAUGGGCUCGCGUGACAUUAGCUAGUUGGAGAGGUAACGGCUCACCAAGGCUACGAUGUCUAGGGGCUCUGAGAGGAGAAUCCCCCACACUGGUACUGAGACACGGACCAGACUCCUACGGGAGGCAGCAGUAAGGAAUAUUGGUCAAUGGAGGCAACUCUGAACCAGCCAUGCCGCGUGCAGGAUGACUGCCCUAUGGGUUGUAAACUGCUUUUGUCAGGGAAUAAACCUUUCUACGUGUAGAAAGCUGAAUGUACCUGAAGAAUAAGGAUCGGCUAACUCCGUGCCAGCAGCCGCGGUAAUACGGAGGAUCCAAGCGUUAUCCGGAUUUAUUGGGUUUAAAGGGUGCGUAGGCGGUCCUAUAAGUCAGUGGUGAAAGACGGCAGCUUAACUGUCGCAGUGCCUUUGAUACUGUAGGACUUGAAUCUAUUUGAAGUGGGCGGAAUAAGACAAGUAGCGGGUGAAAUGCAUUAGAUAUGUCCUUACAACUCCCAAUUGCGGAAGGCCAGCU
This 637-nucleotide ribosomal RNA is filed under the name Sphingobacterium sp. ADB_BD064. Its description in RNAcentral is "bacterial SSU rRNA". It matches the Rfam family "Bacterial small subunit ribosomal RNA", at positions 97 to 730 of the family's 1533-position model. Lineage: Bacteria; Pseudomonadati; Bacteroidota; Sphingobacteriia; Sphingobacteriales; Sphingobacteriaceae. The record is from RNAcentral.